AACUUUCGGCAAUGGAUCUCUUGGUUCUGGCAUCGAUGAGGAACGCAGCGAAAUGCGAUAAGUAAUGCGAAUUGCAGAAUUUCCGUGAGUCAUCGAAUCUUUGAACGCACAUUGCGCCCACUGGUAUUCCGGUGGGCAUGCCUGUUCGAGCGUCAUUAUCCCCCCUCAAACCCCCGUGUUUGGUGUUGGGCCGGGUCGUUUGGAGACGAACGACCGGCCCCAAAGACAAUGACGGCGUCCGCGGGACCCUCGGUGCAACGAGCUUUUCGGAGCACGCGUCGAGUUUCAAGGUCCCCCCGGGCCGGUCUUACCUUUAUUUAUUUUUAACAGGUUUACCUCGGAUCAGGUAGGAAUACCCGCUGAACUUAAGCAUAUCAAUAAGCGGAGGCU
Molecule: unclassified non-coding RNA, 390 nt
Filed under: uncultured Phaeococcomyces
Lineage: Eukaryota; Fungi; Ascomycota; Eurotiomycetes; Chaetothyriales; Herpotrichiellaceae
Description: sequence contains ITS2
Rfam family: 5.8S ribosomal RNA (bases 1-155)
Source: RNAcentral